GGAUUACACUUUCAAUGCCAAAUACACAUGUAUUGGAAAAGAAAUAGAUAAAUGGAUGACUAGGUAACACAGCAGAUUCAGCCUGCCUGAGGAGAACAGAAAGAAAUGGUGAAUUGAAAACUUUCAGAGCCAGGGUUUGACAUCAGCAGAACAGAACAGAAGCAAAGAGCAGGGUACGCUAGGAUUCUCUCAGCUCAAUGUGGACCAAAGAUCAUGCAGACAGUGGCCUGAAGGCAAUCGGAAUUCAGUAGCAUGCAUACAACAGAAGCUUCUAGAAAUUCGGAUAAGUUAUGAGCACAACGUAUUUUGUG
Cygnus atratus (black swan) is the source of this 311-nucleotide long non-coding RNA. RefSeq lists it as uncharacterized. Lineage: Eukaryota; Metazoa; Chordata; Aves; Anseriformes; Anatidae. The transcript has 3 exons. The record is from RefSeq and is a predicted model, not a curated record.